This 99-nucleotide small RNA is filed under the name Chaetoceros cf. neogracilis. RNAcentral describes it as "partial Betaproteobacteria transfer-messenger RNA". Lineage: Eukaryota; Bacillariophyta; Thalassiosirophyceae; Chaetocerotales; Chaetocerotaceae. The record is from RNAcentral.
ACAUUGACCAAAAAGCAGGAAGAAGAACAAUUAGCAUUAGCUGCAAAAGAAGAGGAAGAACGAUUAGCUGCGGAAGCAUUGACCAAGAAGCAGAAAGAG